GCCACACUUGCACCAUAUGGAAGUUCCCAGGCUAGGGGUCAACUUUGUAAGUCAACUAUAUUAUAAUAAAUUUUUUUAAAUAAUAAUAAUUACCCUUUUUGGCUUAAGCUCACUAAGCUGGUUCCUUUUCACCUAAAAUCAAGAAAUCCUAAUUAUGCAUAUGGGGAUUAGAAUAUAUUUCAGAAGUUCCCGUCGUGGCGCAGUGGUUAACGAAUCUGACUAGGAACCAUGAGGUUGCGGGUUCGGUCCCUGCCCUUGCUCAGUGGGUUAACGAUCUGGCGUUGCCGUGAGCUGUGGUGUAGGUCGCAGACGCGGCUCGGAUCCUGCGUUGCUGUGGCUGUGGUGUAGGCCGGCAGCUACAGCUCCAAUUCGACCCCUAGCCUGGGAACUUUUCAUAUGCCACAGGCGCAGCCAUUUAAAAAAAAAAGAAGAAGAAGAAGCAGCACUAAGCUGUAAAGAAAAAAAGACGAUAACUGACAAAAUUUUAAACUUUUGCACAAUAAUAGAUACUCUAAACAAGGUUUUAAAAAAGCAGAUUACAGUGGAAGAAAAUGAUUUUGCUAUACCUCAAAACAUGAAAAGUUAUACAUAACAUAUACGAAUUAACAAAAACUAUGGAAAAAUGGUCAAGGAUUAACAGCAGGCAAUUUGGAAAGAAAAAAAUAGAAACACACCAAAUGUAAACCAAAGUUCAGGAUAAUUUGUUUAAAACUUCAUUACUGUGCAUUAUCAUCUAUUUCCUCUUAUGCCCUUUAGUCUUAAAAGAGUAUAGAAGCUAAUCAAGUUGGUCACAUGGGACCCUGGGGUACCAGAGCUGAGCGCAGACUUUCAUUUUUCUGCCCCUCAUGCUUUUUUCUGAGGACAGUCAGCAGCAGCGUUUUCCUCCUGAGCAACUGCACAUUUAUGAAAUGAUCUGAAGACGUAUCAGCAGUGUUAACUGUCAAACAUCUUAAACAAUCAGGAUUCCAUGAUAAAAUUUUUAUCUCAUAUCCCUUCAGUGAGCAUAAGCAUAGCUUAUGGGGACCAUCAGAAACAUUUUAAAUUAAUUCCUUUAAAAUUGAAAAAAAAAAAGAAAAAAGGAAUAUGAAUAACAUUUGCUUGUAAUUGCCAAAAGUAUUGUUCUACCAUUAAAAUGGGGAGGUGUUAGCUUAAACACAUUCUUCCCAUUAAAUGAGUCAAUAUUUUACUCCCUCCCCCCAAAUGCCACAGGUAUUUCAUGCAUUAUUCAUACAUUACAUUGAAGAAAUUGAUUAUUAUUGAAGCUGCACCUAGAAAACGAAUGUGAAUUAAAAUAUUCAGUAACUCUUUUAAUUUCAAGUUAUAUCUAAAUUCCAGAAAGCCACAAUACUAAUGCAGUUAUUAGAUUUUACUUUUACACAUUUCCUGAGAAUUACAUUUUUAACAGAUUCCAGGGCAAAAUGUUUUUACUAAAAAAAGAAAGUAAACCAAAAUGCCAUCUAACAUUUCCCUUCAAGAAGCAUUUCACCAUGGGUGUUUUAAAAGACAUAUUUCAGCUUUGAUCAAGGAAUAAAAAGCAGAUGAAUUAACAAACAUAUGACAAAGGUCAGAAGCAAAGCGUGAGGGGAAAACACUCUCAUUCCCAAUGCAUGUGCUCUUUUAAGUACAAUGAAGAACAAGCUGUUGGGUUUGGGCAGUUAGUAUCAGGAGAAUCCUCUUUACUAUUCAGAGCGCCAUCAAAAUCAUGCAUGCUUUACGCACCAUACACCUGCAUCUCAACAUCCGGACUAGUUCUAAUAACUCUAUUUAUUUAAAAAAAAAUUCUGAAGUUCCCGUCGUGGCUCAGUGGUUAACAAAUCCGACUAGGAACCAUGAGGUUGUGGGUUUGAGCCCUGGCCUCACUCCGUGGGUGAAGGAUCCGGCGUUGCCGGGAGCUGUGGUGUGGGUAGCAGACGCGACUGGGGUCUGGUGUUGCUGUGGCUGUGGCGAAGGCCAAGAGGCUACAGCUCCGAUUCGACCCCUAGCCUGGGAACCUCCAUACGCGGUGGGCACAGCCCUAGAAAAUAAAAAAAUAAAAAAAAAUAAAAAAAAAAAUUCUAAUGUUUAAAAGUUCGUGAAAAUGGAAAGCUUUGUUUUUAAGAUCAAAUCAUUAGCACUGGGCUUAAGAAAUCCCAAGGCAAUUUGUAACAUGCAUAUGGCACAAUCAGCUCACUGGCAGAGAACCGAUAUGCAACCUAAGAUUGCUGUGUUUGUUUUUCUUGGAGGAAGAGAGGAGGCUAGGUGGUAUUUAAAGGCAUGUGAUGGGAGUUCCCGUCGUGGCGCAGUGGUUAACAACCGACUAGGAACCAUGAGGUUGCGGGUUCGGUCCCUGCCCUUGCUCAGUGGGUUAACGAUCCGGCGUUGCGGUGAGCUGUGGUGUAGGUUGCAGACGCGGCUUGGAUACCGCGUUGCUGUGGCUCUGGCAUAGGCCGGAGGCUACAGCUCCGAUUCGACCCCUAGCCUGGGAACCUCCACAUGCCACGGAGCGGCCCAAAGAAAUAGCAAAAAAAGACAAAAAAUAAAUAAAUAAAGGCAUGUGAUGACCACAACACUCUGAGGAAGUCAGGCUGAAUAAAAUGUGUGUUGUUUAUGGUGAAAGGAUGGGUCGCUCGCUGCCUCUAUGGUCAGUUAACUGUUUUAGGUUAGCUGCUCUCCUCUGAAGGGCUAGAUGAGCAACACUGGGGCGAGAGGCACUUACAAAGUCCCAAGAAGGCCCAUCCUCUAGCUGCCUAACAGCUCCUUUUUCUCUGAUUUAACGGCAUUCGCACUCCCUCCCUCACUGCUUGAACAGAGGGAAGCAGGAAGCCUCUGAGAAAGCCCCUCGCAGGGAGCUCAAUCCAGUCCUUAGGGAUCGAGAACACUUCCUUGCUGGCUUGGCGCCUUUCCUUUUCACUUCUGCCCACUCCGGAUGCCCCCAAGACCAAGACCAAGUCUUCAGGCCUCUGCACUUGAAUCCAACCACUCUCUCAGCAUUUCCGUCAUCGUUUCCAUCAACACCCACAAAAAAAUACUCCACGAGGGCCUUAUCCCCCUCGUGUGAAUAGCCCCAUAAUUCCUCCCAAAGCGGUUCAUUCCUACCAUAAUGCCUCCUCCGUAGGUCUUCAGCGUUUAAGUAAAAAGGCUCCUCUUACACACCGAAACUCCUCCUUACUGUGGUGCUUCUUAUUUUGUUUCUUCCAAAAGCUAACAUGGUACAUCCUUAUUAAAUGUAAAGCUGG
Molecule: long non-coding RNA, 3215 nt
Filed under: Sus scrofa (pig)
Lineage: Eukaryota; Metazoa; Chordata; Mammalia; Artiodactyla; Suidae
Description: lncRNA (ENSSSCG00005010268.1)
Source: RNAcentral